AGUGAACGCUGGCGGUAGGCCCAACACAUGCAAGUCGAACGGCAGCACAGUAAGAGCUUGCUCUUACGGGUGGCGAGUGGCGGACGGGUGAGGAAUACAUCGGAAUCUACUUUUUCGUGGGGGAUAACGUAGGGAAACUUACGCUAAUACCGCAUACGACCUACGGGUGAAAGCAGGGGAUCUUCGGCUCUUGCGCGAUUGAAUGAGCCGAUGGCGGAUUAGCUAGUUGGCGGGGUAAAGGCCCACCAAGGCGACGAUCCGUAGCUGGUCUGAGAGGAUGAUCAGCCACACUGGAACUGAGACACGGUCCAGACUCCUACGGGAGGCAGCAGUGGGGAAUAUUGGACAAUGGGCGCAAGCCUGAUCCAGCCAUACCGCGUGUGUGAAGAAGGCCUUCGGGUUGUAAAGCCCUUUUGGUGGGAAAGAAAAGCAGCAGGUUAAUACCCCGCUGUUCUGACGGUACCCAAAGAAUAAGCACCGGCUAACUUCGUG
RNAcentral lists this ribosomal RNA (492 nucleotides) under uncultured bacterium. Its description in RNAcentral is "partial 16S ribosomal RNA". It matches the Rfam family "Bacterial small subunit ribosomal RNA", at positions 29 to 507 of the family's 1533-position model. The record is from RNAcentral.